GCAGGCUUGUUCACUUUUAAUUACUAGAUCACCUCUGGAGGAAAACUCAUCAGGCUGCAGCAGCUAGCUGUGGUGGGAGCCUGCAGAAAGGGUCAGAACAUGGAUAGGAAGAGGUGGGAAGGUGGACACUAAGACCCCAGGAUGCCCCAAGUUUUCAAGAGCCCUACGCAGCCGGGUAUGCCGGGUAUGACUAAGGACGGCCCUGGCUUCUACAGACUCUGAGCAUGCAGACCCUGACAGUAUCUCUACUCUUCUGGUGGCAUAUAAAGUACAAGCACUGCAUGACCAGCAACAGCUGCCGGAGCCUUUCGUUUCCAUGUGUAGUUACACACGGCCGCAACAAGCAUGGACGCAGUCUGCAUUUCACUGCAAUGAUGAUGAAGAUGAGAAAGAGGAUUUGAAGUGGCUUGAUCCAAUGAGCUCUCCAGGGUACAGUAGAGAGUGAAUCAGUCAUGCCCAGCAUGCAAACAUUAAACAAACAAGAGAGCCAUAGAAGUUAUUUUGGUAUUCUCUUGAUUGAUGGCAUCAUUUCAGCAAAAUAUCCCAUGUGAC
Long non-coding RNA from Mauremys reevesii (Reeves's turtle), 552 nucleotides. RefSeq lists it as uncharacterized. The transcript has 4 exons. NCBI's taxonomy places the organism in Eukaryota, Metazoa, Chordata, Testudines, Geoemydidae. The record is from RefSeq and is a predicted model, not a curated record.